Molecule: microRNA precursor, 60 nt
Filed under: Xenopus laevis (African clawed frog)
Lineage: Eukaryota; Metazoa; Chordata; Amphibia; Anura; Pipidae
Description: Xla-Mir-2184-P4_pre stem-loop
Source: RNAcentral
AACAGUAAGAGAUUAUGUGCUGUGUUAUCAGGCAGCCGGCACAUGACUUGUUACUGCUCA